UAUUGUUGAUAAUAGAUUGCAGAAUGGCGAAUCAGUAAGGAGCUGUGAAGGAUUGUUGUCUGCGUCUGAUGAACAUCACAGCAAUCUGAAUACAAGAGCGAAUGUGACGCUCCGAUAAUGUACAGUAUGCAGAUAGUGUGUUUUUAUUGUCAUCUCAUUUGGAGCGUUUGGUGUUUCUUACAAGUUACCGCCGACUAUGUCAAAUUGUCACACGAUGGGCCUGUUGUGUUGGGCGGCACGAUCACCUUUAGAGCUGACUUGUACGGGGAUGACGGCGAACGACCACGAGGCAUUUUCAAUUACAAGUGGCAGGAUAAUUCGUUAGAAAAUCACAAGUAUCAGACUGAAGGGAUACCAAAUACUACAACAUUUUGGAGCUUAAGUUAUCCACGACAAAUUAAUGUUCCUGGCAGAUAUAUCAUGGAGAUACAAGUUGAACACCACUAUUUUCCAUUUGUGUGGUUGCAUGAUACAAGCGCUCGUGUCGAAUUUGAAAUCUCCGAAUGCCUCAAUGGUAACAUGACCAUGGAGCAGGGCAAUAAAACCAUAUCAGGGGAAUAUGUUUCCUCUGUGAAUGAGACAAAAUUAAUGAUAGACAUGCGUAAAGGAGAUUACGAUUUCAUAACGAAAAACGCCACGUCUAUAUCGACAUAUUGGUUUGUCGAUUGCAAAUAUUACGGUCAAACAAAUGACUUCGCAUUCGUAUAUAAUUUUACGGGUCCCGACACGACGCACGAAGUAGGAGCUCUGGUAGUUGCUUCGUACAUACCUCCAACAACCACAACCGUCCUACCACCUACCACUACCACUACGCCCGUACCCGGUAACAUAACGACAGUCGCACCGAACAAUACUACAACUAGCCCAAAUGGAACUAUCGCACCUGCGACAACAACCGCAUCGCCGACAACUGUCACAACUGUAAAGCCUACGACGUUGAAGCCCGCGACUACCGCGUCGCCGACGAAUGCAAGCGCGAUAGACGCCGCCAACAUGUCUUUACCUUACAUCUGUUCGAAUGCAUCUCUCAUUCCGCCGGAUCCCAACAAUACAUAUGGAUAUUUCCAUAAAAAGAUAAAUGUCCGUGCUCCCAUCUCGAACAUCUCAGUGGACGGUACGAAUUGGAUUCAACCGUGGGACAUGUUGAAUCUGAACAUAACAUGCAGAGGAUCGGGACCUUUCCACAAGUGUCUUCUGUUCCACCGCGGCAAGUACAAUAUCACGGGCAAUGAGACGUGCGACAAUGUGGAACCCUUGCCCACCUGUAAUUUCUCCAUCAUCCAUUAUUUCCUGGAGCCCAGCGUCUACACGAUAAUAAUUGUACUGAACAACGAAGUUAGCACGCAGAUUUAUCCAUUAACGAUAAACAUUUACAAAGUCACGACGAAGCCACAGCUAUCGGUCAUUGUAGUGCCGGUUUCUUGCACGCUCGUGGCCGUGGUGCUGAUAGUGUUCGGUGUGGCGUAUUAUAUUCAGAGCAGAGCAAGGUUCACAGUGGAAGUCGCUGACUUCGACUUUGGGCAAAAUAACCCAGAGAUGGAGUACAAAACGUUUGCUGAACGCUUGCGCGACUCGUUCAAUAAUACUGUAAGGCCCAAAGGCAAAGGGAUAAUUCUACGCUUGCCCUAUUACGGCAGCAUGAAUCACUGACAAAUAUCGACCAUGCGAAUUAAGCGGCCUACCGUUGUAUAACUGUUCCGUUAUUAAAAGUGCAGGGUAUAAACCACUUAACAAUCCGCAAACGCAUCAGUGACGUAUGAGCAAGGAGCAAAGACCUUCCGAGGAUGAGAGACGACACUAAACUUACUGUAGCAAGAGUGUCUGCGAGAAGUAGCAUUGCGGAAACACGUGCCAGACGGGGGAACACCCGUCGGCAAAUUCCACGGUGUUGGUGGCGAAGAGGUCCGUCAAAUGUCUCGUUGCUGCGAUUAAGUAGAUAUUAAGUAACAUCACUUGAAGAUCGACGUGUCAUAAAAAGGAAAAAUAAAAUACGACAAAUCAUUGCGUGAUCUUUCCAAAGAAUUUGCGGAUCGCUAGGUCAACGUUGUAUAUAAGCGUGGAAGAAAUUACGAAGAUGUAUAUAUAGGCUGUGAAUAUGUGUAGCGUGCAAUAGUGUGGUAGCGUCGCUCUUACGUGAUACAUGAAAGAAUUUGAUAUUUUUUUAAGGCCUCGAAUAUGAAAGUUAUCGAUUGAUAGCCUUUUUAUGAUUUACCGUACGUCCUUGCUUAACGCUAAAGCGUUAGUGUGUCACUAUUGUGUGAUCGUAAUAUACCGCAUAAUAUAUUCUUUAUACUUACACGAAAUGUGAGGUGAAAUUGUAUGUUAUAUUAGUUCGCAUUAUGUUGUAGGAGUGAAGGAGAAUUGAUUUGCUGCUUUUAGAAGAUCGGUGAUGAUUCUUUAGAGAAUUCUAUAUGUAUAUGUAAUAUAUUCUAAUUCUACAUGAUUUGUUCUAUAUUUAUGCAUUCUAAUUCUAUAUGUCGUAUUCCACGGGAUCAUCCGUUAAUUUUACGACGACACCGAUAUAAUUUCCCUUUAUAUCUUUCUCUUUCGCUCUUAAUCACUCACACACCGUAACACACAAAUGCGAACGUACACACGUGGAAAUCGCCAGGCGAGGGGGCUUUAUUAAGAAGCAGAAUUAAAUCACGACCAAAUUGAGAGAUUCUUUUAUACGUGGUGUGUUAUAUUUAUAAUUCAUUGAUAAGUAGAAACUCUCUUUUAGAAAAUUUUGAACCAAGUCACUAGAUGGGCAGGUAUACUAUUACGAACGCUUGUACAAGAUACUCUAGGCUAGAAGAAUAGUCUAACUCGAAAAAAAAAAAAAGAAAUAUAAUUAUCGCAAUAUCGUGAUGCAAAAGUAUUUAUCUGCCGAAUAUCUAAUAAAAAGAAACGAAAUACGUUACGGACGGCACGUUAGGUGUCGUUUCUCAUAUUACCGUCAUUCGGACGAUUGGUUGUUAUGAUGUCGAUGUACGGGAUCUGUUUCGUCGGCAGCCGCGAUAUGCGAACAUUUUGUUAAAAAAUUAUUGUAAUGCUGUAAUGAUACUUUGAUUAAAGUGAUUGGUUUUAAUUA
This is an RNA transcript of Dinoponera quadriceps, 3073 nucleotides long. RefSeq lists it as uncharacterized. The record is from RefSeq and is a predicted model, not a curated record. Lineage: Eukaryota; Metazoa; Arthropoda; Insecta; Hymenoptera; Formicidae. The transcript has 7 exons.